GAUCGAUGGCUCAGGAUGAACGCUGCGGCAGGCUAAUACAUGCAAGUCGAACGGUAACAGAGCUAGCAAUAGCUGCUGACGAGUGGCGGAUGGGUGCGUAACGCGUAUGCAACCUACCUGUAAUUGGAACAUAACGUUGAGAAAUUAGCGCUAAUAUUCCAUGUGGAUAUGAGACGGCAUCGUUUUAUAUUUAAAGAUUUAUUGAUUACAGAUGGGCAUGCGUAUCAUUAGCUAGUUGGUAAGGUAACGGCUCACCAAGGCAACGAUGAUUAGGGGUUCUGAGAGGAUAUCCCCCCACACUGGAACUGAGACACGGUCCAGACUCCUACGGGAGGCAGCAGUAGGGAAUAUUGGGCAAUGGAGGCAACUCUGACCCAGCCAAUGCCGCGUGAAGGAAUACAGCCCUACGGGUUUUAAACUUCUUUUAUUAUAGAGUAACCGGAGGUACGUGUACCUCCCUGCAAGUAUAUAAUGAAUAAGGAUCGGCUAACUCCGUGCCAGCAGCCGC
RNAcentral lists this ribosomal RNA (508 nucleotides) under uncultured bacterium. RNAcentral describes it as "bacterial SSU rRNA". It matches the Rfam family "Bacterial small subunit ribosomal RNA", at positions 15 to 518 of the family's 1533-position model. The record is from RNAcentral.